RNAcentral lists this non-coding RNA (177 nucleotides) under Candidatus Nitrotoga sp. Its description in RNAcentral is "6S RNA". It matches the Rfam family "6S / SsrS RNA". Rfam says of the family: E. coli 6S RNA was the first non coding RNA to be sequenced, but its function was unknown until recently. It consists of 184 nucleotides that fold into an extended hairpin structure with a large single-stranded internal bulge. The record is from RNAcentral. Lineage: Bacteria; Pseudomonadati; Pseudomonadota; Betaproteobacteria; Nitrosomonadales; Gallionellaceae. RNAcentral also lists the same sequence under 2 other names.
UUUCCCCUGCGGUGUUCGUCAGGCUCAUAAUUCUUUGGACCAAUAAGCUCUGCUUAGGCCGCGCCCCUUAAUGUUACUGUUGUGCGCAUCCCCUGCGGAUGUACCUGAUGUAACUGGGAACCGGCUCUCUUGAACCCAGGUUCAAGAUGUUGGGUCAACGGCACAGGCGGGGGGCUU